Molecule: ribosomal RNA, 424 nt
Filed under: uncultured bacterium
Lineage: Bacteria
Description: bacterial SSU rRNA
Rfam family: Bacterial small subunit ribosomal RNA
Source: RNAcentral
UGAGGAAUAUUGGUCAAUGGACGAGAGUCUGAACCAGCCAAGUAGCGUGAAGGAUGACUGCCCUAUGGGUUGUAAACUUCUUUUAUAUGGGAAUAAAGUUUUCCACGUGUGGAAUUUUGUAUGUACCAUAUGAAUAAGGAUCGGCUAACUCCGUGCCAGCAGCCGCGGUAAUACGGAGGAUCCGAGCGUUAUCCGGAUUUAUUGGGUUUAAAGGGAGCGUAGGUGGACAGUUAAGUCAGUUGUGAAAGUUUGCGGCUCAACCGUAAAAUUGCAGUUGAUAUUGGCUGUCUUGAGUACAGUAGAGGUGGGCGGAAUUCGUGGUGUAGCGGUGAAAUGCUUAGAUAUCACGAAGAACUCCGAUUGCGAAGGCAGCUCACUGGACUGCAACUGACACUGAUGCUCGAAAGUGUGGGUAUCAAACAGG